RNAcentral lists this long non-coding RNA (204 nucleotides) under Elaeis guineensis (African oil palm). RNAcentral describes it as "long non-coding RNA (EGUI_LNC078630)". The record is from RNAcentral. Lineage: Eukaryota; Viridiplantae; Streptophyta; Magnoliopsida; Arecales; Arecaceae.
UAUUUUCAUUCACAAAAAAGAAUUGCAGCUGGGUUGUUACUUAAUUAAAUUUAAUUUUUUAGAUAAAUUUAGAUAAAUUAGUAAUAAAUUUACUUCAAUGAUCUGUUAGCAUUUCGAUCUGAUCAUAAUGUCCAAAAAAUUGUUCCAAUAACUUACUCCUUUGGCAUCCAAAAGAAAAAAAAAGGGCUAUAACCCCGAGGCAUG